GCGGUCGUGGCGGAAUGGCAGACGCGUCAGACUAAGGAUCUGGUGGGUGUAAUACCCGUGGAGGUUCGACUCCUCUCGACCGCACUA
Molecule: transfer RNA, 87 nt
Filed under: Macrococcus bovicus
Lineage: Bacteria; Bacillati; Bacillota; Bacilli; Caryophanales; Staphylococcaceae
Also listed under: 2 other names
Description: tRNA-Leu
Rfam family: tRNA
About the family: Transfer RNA (tRNA) molecules are approximately 80 nucleotides in length. Their secondary structure includes four short double-helical elements and three loops (D, anti-codon, and T loops). Further hydrogen bonds mediate the characteristic L-shaped molecular structure. tRNAs have two regions of fundamental functional importance: the anti-codon, which is responsible for specific mRNA codon recognition, and the 3' end, to which the tRNAs corresponding amino acid is attached (by aminoacyl-tRNA synthetases). tRNAs cope with the degeneracy of the genetic code in two manners: having more than one tRNA (with a specific anti-codon) for a particular amino acid; and 'wobble' base-pairing, i.e. permitting non-standard base-pairing at the 3rd anti-codon position.
Source: RNAcentral